Molecule: ribosomal RNA, 539 nt
Filed under: uncultured bacterium
Lineage: Bacteria
Description: bacterial SSU rRNA
Rfam family: Bacterial small subunit ribosomal RNA
Source: RNAcentral
AGACAAUAGAUACCCCGGUAGUCCACGCUGUAAACGAUGAGGACUAAAUGUAGGAUGGGCGACCAUUCUGUAUUGAAAGCUAACGCGAUAAGUCUUCCGCCUGGGAAGUACGGCCGCAAGGUUGAAACUCAAAGAAAUUGACGGGGGCCCGGCACAAGCGGUGGAGCAUGUGGUUUAAUUCGAUGCAACGCGAAGAACCUUACCUACUCUUGACAUCCUACGAAUCUGGCUGAGAGGCUGGAGUGCCGCAAGGAGCGUAGAGACAGGUGCUGCAUGGCUGUCGUCAGCUCGUGUUGUGAGAUGUUGGGUUAAGUCCCGUAACGAGCGCAACCCUUAUCCUUAGUUACCAGCGAGUAAAGUCGGGGUACUCUAAGGAGACUGCCGGUGAUGAAUCGGAGGAAGGUGGGGACGAUGUCAAGUCAUCAUGGCCUUUAUGAGUAGGGCUACACACGUGCUACAAUGGGGUCGUACAGAGGGUAGCCAACCCGGCGAGGGGGUAGCCGAAUCCCGCAAACGCGUCUCGUAGUCCGGAUUGGAGU